Molecule: ribosomal RNA, 445 nt
Filed under: uncultured bacterium
Lineage: Bacteria
Description: bacterial SSU rRNA
Rfam family: Bacterial small subunit ribosomal RNA
Source: RNAcentral
GUGAGGAAUAUUGCGCAAUGGAGGCAACUCUGACGCAGCCAUGCCGCGUGCAGGAAGAAGGCGCUACGCGUUGUAAACUGCUUUUAACCGGGAAGAAACCCCAGGACGUGUCCUGGGUUGACGGUACCGGAGGAAUAAGCACCGGCUAACUUCGUGCCAGCAGCCGCGGUAAUACGAAGGGUGCAAGCGUUAUCCGGAUUCAUUGGGUUUAAAGGGUGCGUAGGCGGAGCGUUAAGUCAGUGGUGAAAUCCUGCAGCUUAACUGUAGACUUGCCAUUGAUACUGGCGCUCUUGAGUGCGCUUGAAGUGGGCGGAAUGUGCCGUGUAGCGGUGAAAUGCUUAGAUAUGGCACAGAACACCAAUUGCGAAGGCAGCUCACUAAGGCGAUACUGACGCUGAGGCACGAAAGCAUGGGGAUCGAACAGGAUUAGAAACCCUAGUAGUCC